Molecule: unclassified non-coding RNA, 380 nt
Filed under: uncultured bacterium
Lineage: Bacteria
Description: contains 16S-23S intergenic spacer region
Source: RNAcentral
UCCGGCUUAUCACCGGCAGUCCCCCUAGAGUGCCCAACUAAAUGAUGGCAACUAAUGACAAGGGUUGCGCUCGUUGCGGGACUUAACCCAACAUCUCACGACACGAGCUGACGACAGCCAUGCAGCACCUUGCGCUCUGCCUAGGUUUCCCUAGGAAGCCCUAUCUCUAGGGUUGUCAGAGGCAUUCUAGCCCAGGUAAGGUUCUUCGCGUUGCGUCGAAUUGAACCACAUGCUCCACCGCUUGUGCGGGCUCCCGUCAAUUUCUUUGAGUUUUAACCUUGCGGCCGUACUCCCCAGGCGGAUAACUUAAUGCGUUAGCUGCGCCACCGAAAGCCUAAGGCCCCCGACAGCUAGUUAUCAUCGUUUACGGCGUGGACUAC